AUGAACGCUGGCGGCGUGCCUAAUACAUGCAAGUCGCGCGAACGGACGAGAAGCUUGCUUCUCUGAUGUUAGCGGCGGACGGGUGAGUAACACGUGGAUAACCUACCUAUAAGACUGGGAUAACUUCGGGAAACCGGAGCUAAUACCGGAUAAUAUUUUGAACCGCAUGGUUCAAAAGUGAAAGACGGUCUUGCUGUCACUUAUAGAUGGAUCCGCGCUGCAUUAGCUAGUUGGUAAGGUAACGGCUUACCAAGGCAACGAUGCAUAGCCGACCUGAGAGGGUGAUCGGCCACACUGGAACUGAGACACGGUCCAGACUCCUACGGGAGGCAGCAGUAGGGAAUCUUCCGCAAUGGGCGAAAGCCUGACGGAGCAACGCCGCGUGAGUGAUGAAGGUCUUCGGAUCGUAAAACUCUGUUAUUAGGGAAGAACAUAUGUGUAAGUAACAGUGCACAUCUUGACGGUACCUAAUCAGAAAGCCACGGCUAACUACGUG
RNAcentral lists this ribosomal RNA (496 nucleotides) under uncultured bacterium. Its description in RNAcentral is "partial 16S ribosomal RNA". It matches the Rfam family "Bacterial small subunit ribosomal RNA", at positions 29 to 507 of the family's 1533-position model. The record is from RNAcentral.